RNAcentral lists this transfer RNA (83 nucleotides) under Canis lupus familiaris (dog). It matches the Rfam family "tRNA". From Rfam's summary of the family: Transfer RNA (tRNA) molecules are approximately 80 nucleotides in length. Their secondary structure includes four short double-helical elements and three loops (D, anti-codon, and T loops). RNAcentral also lists the same sequence under 1 other name. The record is from Rfam by way of RNAcentral. Lineage: Eukaryota; Metazoa; Chordata; Mammalia; Carnivora; Canidae.
GCCUGAGUGGCUCAGUGGUUGAGCAUCUGCCUUUGGCUCAGAUUGAGAUCCCAGGGUCUUGGGAUCGAGUCCCACAUCAGGCU